AGUGAACGCUGGCGGUAGGCCUAACACAUGCAAGUCGAACGGCAGCACAGUAAGCGCUUGCUCUUACGGGUGGCGAGUGGCGGACGGGUGAGGAAUACAUCGGAAUCUACUUUUUCGUGGGGGAUAACGUAGGGAAACUUACGCUAAUACCGCAUACGACCUACGGGUGAAAGCAGGGGAUCUUCGGACCUUGCGCGUUUGAAUGAGCCGAUGUCGGAUUAGCUAGUUGGCGGGGUAAAGGCCCACCAAGGCGACGAUCCGUAGCUGGUCUGAGAGGAUGAUCAGCCACACUGGAACUGAGACACGGUCCAGACUCCUACGGGAGGCAGCAGUGGGGAAUAUUGGACAAUGGGCGCAAGCCUGAUCCAGCCAUACCGCGUGGGUGAAGAAGGCCUUCGGGUUGUAAAGCCCUUUUGUUGGGAAAGAAAAGCAGCAGGUUAAUACCCCGCUGUUCUGACGGUACCCAAAGAAUAAGCACCGGCUAACUUCGUG
This 492-nucleotide ribosomal RNA is filed under the name uncultured bacterium. RNAcentral describes it as "partial 16S ribosomal RNA". It matches the Rfam family "Bacterial small subunit ribosomal RNA", at positions 29 to 507 of the family's 1533-position model. The record is from RNAcentral.